UGGGGAAUAUUGCACAAUGGAGGGAACUCUGAUGCAGCGACGCCGCGUGAACGAAGAAGGCUUUCGAGUCGUAAAGUUCUUUUAUAUGGGAAGAUAAUGACGGUACCAUAAGAAAAAGCCCCGGCUAACUACGUGCCAGCAGCCGCGGUAAUACGUAGGGGGCUAGCGUUGUCCGGAAUCACUGGGCGUAAAGGGUUCGCAGGCGGAAAUGCAAGUCAGGUGUAAAAGGCAGUAGCUUAACUACUGUAAGCAUUUGAAACUGCAUAUCUUGAGAAGAGUAGAGGUAAGUGGAAUUUUUAGUGUAGCGGUGAAAUGCGUAGAGAGUAAAAAGAAUACCGGUGGCGAAGGCGACUUACUGGGCUCAUUCUGACGCUGAGGAACGAAAGCGUGGGUAGCAAACAGG
Molecule: ribosomal RNA, 403 nt
Filed under: Fusobacteriota bacterium
Lineage: Bacteria; Fusobacteriati; Fusobacteriota
Description: Fusobacteria bacterium partial 16S ribosomal RNA
Rfam family: Bacterial small subunit ribosomal RNA
Source: RNAcentral